UUUUUUUUUUUUUUUUUUUUUUUAAGGGCUGCCCCUGCCGCAUAUGGAGGUUCCCAGGCUAGGGGGUCAAAUCCGAGUUGUAGCCGACAGCCUACACCACGGCCACAGCCACACCAGAUCCGAGCCGCGUCUGUGACCUAUAUCACAGCUCACAGCAACGCCGGAUCCUUCACCCACUGAGUGAGGCCAGGGAUCGAACCUGCGCCCUCACGGUUCCCAGUCAGAUUCGUUUCCCCUGCACCAUGACGGGAACUCCCGGAGAGACUUUUAACAAGAAUUUUCAUUGAUGGGUAGUUGAUGUACUAUGUUGUGCUAAUUUGUGCUGGGCGGUGGUUCGGGUAUACAUAGAGAUACAUUCUGUUUCCUAUUCUGUUCUGUUAGGGUUUGUCACAGGUUGAAUAUAGAGAGCUCCCUGGGCUGGGCAGUGGGACCUUGUUGAACUUUUUUGUUGUUGUUGUUGUCGUUUUUUAAAGUUUCAUUGCGGUGGACUUCAUGUGCAGCGUUGGGAUCCUUUCUGCUGUGUAGCAAAGUGACUCAGGCAUCCGUGUCCACACAUCUGUUCUUGCUGAGAUUCUUUUCCCACAGAGAUGAUCACGGGGUAGUGGGUAGAGCUCCCUGUGCUGGACAGCAGGUCCCUGUUGGCCCGUCAUUCCAUAGACCUGAGGGUGCACGUGCCAACCCCGCACCCCCCCGUCCAUCCCUGCCCCCCACCUGUCCCCUUAGGUCACCGAAAGAUUGUUUUCAAAGUCUGUGAGUCUUUCUGUCCUGCCAAUAAGGUCAUUGCUGUCCUUUUUUCUAGAUUCCACGUGUAAGUGAUAUCAUGUGAUGUUUGCCUUUCUCUUUCUGACUUACGUAGUGUGACAAUCUCUAGGUCCAUCCAUGCUGCUGCUGAUGGCAUGAUUUCGUUCUUUUUCAUGGCUGCGUCGUAUUCCGUUGUAUGUAUGUACCAUGCCUACACGUCCAUCAGCAGAGGACUGGAUAAAGAUGUGGCACAUACACUUUGUGGAAAAUGACUCAGCUGUAAAAAAGAAUGAUGGAAGGUAACAUAAGAAAGGGAAUGUGUGUGUGUGUGUUGUGUGUGUGUGUAUCUGACUGUUACUUUGCAAUGUAGCAGAAAUUAGCAUAUUGUAAAUCAACUCUAAUAAAAAUUUUUUUAAAAUAAAAUUCUUCUACCACCACCACCAACAAAGAAUGAAAUCAUGCCAUUUGCAGCAACAUGGAUAGACCUGGAAAUAAACUAUUUGUUUUUUUUAGAGCCACAUCUGCUCCUGGGAACUUCCAUAUGCUGCAGGUGCGGCUCUAAAAAAAAAAAUUAAUAAAAAAUAAGGGCGUGGCUUGAGCCCAGUGCCAGCUCAGCUUUUCUGUCUCCCUGGGGGGCACUUGUGGGAAAGCCACUGGCCUCCCUUCUUCCUCCUGAGUCAGACUUUGUGUGCAGGCUCUUUAAAGCCACUGCCUCAGAGAAAGCAGUGAAAAAAAAAAAACUCCACAAAAGGCAGAAUUUUUACAGUGAUGUCAUUUCAGUAGUGGGAAGGACCAGAGGUUAAUUUGGCCCUCGGAGACCUGAAUUUUGGCUCUUCUGGUCAACUGCACAUAUUUCUGUGGGGCUGGAAAAUCAUGACCCAGAUGCCCAAAGGCCGGAGACAGGGCACCGGCCUCGUUCCUGAGCCCUGUCACCCCCACCCCCGUCCCCGGAACACACGCUCACGGCCUGUCUUCUGGGACCUGUGCUCUUUCUCUCCCGACCCUAACGGGGUCGCCCUGUGACCCAUUAGGGGGAGCGAUGCGGCUUUCAGAAUAUCACCCGGGAAAGACUUGGGGCUGCAGCCGAGACCCCCUAAUUCUGACUUUGCAAACCUUUGCUGGGGUCCUGGUGAGAAGUCCGGCUGGUGUAUUUGGCAGGAAACAUCCAGAACUCACUGUCUGUCUUUCUGUCUGUCUCUCUUCCUUCCCUCCUUCCUUUUCUCUUUCUCUCUCCCUCCCCCACAGCCCCAGGUCCUGCUUAGCCAUUGAAACCCCCCGAAGUCCCCAGGGUGUCUGUCUGUCCCACAUUGAAUCCCAUUCUUCCCCCACGUGCACCUGGACUCGGGUUACUGACCUCACGAGCCAGGCCGGGCUCAGAAGGAAGCUGUAGCUCUCUGUCCCUUGAUGUCUGAAUUUAAAGCUUGACACCUCCCCCCCCCUUUGGGAGGCUUUAUCUGCAUGUGUGCCCCAUACACCCUGGGGUCCUGCAGGCCAUGAGGGCAGGCAAGCGCUCUGCUCUCCAGCCCUGUCCCCCAGUCCCUGCGAAUCUGUACUCUGACCAAAGUCGCUCCAGCAUGUUUUAGUUUUGGUUUGGUUUGGGGGUGUUCCCCCCCCCCCUUUUUUUUUUUACAACUGCUGGGUCCACAUUGCCCGGGCCGCUGCCUGCGGCGGGGACUGUUUGGCGACCUGUUCAGGGAUGCGGUUGCGUGGAUGUGCCUUCCUGACGGUGGUGGAAGGUCCUUGUCAGCGGUCGGCCGCGGGGGGCAGGCAGCCGGCCCGCGGGAGCCUUGCCCAGGUCCCACUGCCCACUGGAGGGACGGAUGGACAGAUGGGCGCCGCCCUGGAUGCAGGGAGCAUCCUCUCGUCGGAGGGAGAGGAGAUGCUGCUGGGGUUCCGCACGCCUCCCCCCCCCCGAGCACAGCGGGAGGUGUUGGGGCUCCAGACCUGAGUGUGGCCUGGGCGCGCUGGGGGGCCCUGGCGUGCUUAGCCCUCUCCCUGUGCCUCCGUCCCCCGCUUUCGUUUUGUGGCCUCGAUUCCCCUGUGACUCCUCCCUGGCAUUUUUCUCUUGGUUGUCAUGGAAAAGGGCCGCUUGUUCUGCACCCCUAAAAAUAUCCGUUCAGCAACGACACCGCCCCCGUUCGGAGGGCUCCAUAGAUGGGCUGUUGCUCUGAGUCUGAUGACCUGCUUGAAAAGGCCUUUCGGUGCGUUUCGAGGGGCCCCUUGACCCCUCCGAAUGGCGAUGUUGAAGCUGGAAGACUGUUGUUUAAAACAGUGGAUGUACCGGGGCGGUUAAGUCUGGGGCUCUUUCAUGAACAGUGGAAGCAGAAACCAGAAAGGCCUGCUGGUAGCUCCGCGGACGGCGGAGGGUCCUGCCGACAAGGGCGGGGAGGAGGAGAGCCCGCACCAGGCACAGGACACCCCACCACACCCCGUCAGAGUCCUGCAGCCCCCGUGGCAGUGGGGCUGAGGCUGAGGAAUGAACGCCCUCUAGCGAGGGCCGCUUUCCAUCACCUGUCUCUCUGCCUGGCCGCCAGCUCUCCAUCUUUCUUGCGGUUUCUCCAUCAGUUCAUCCAUCCACCCAUCCACCCACCCGUCUUUCGCUGUAUCUCUGCCUCUCCAUCCAUCCUCUGUCCCUUGAUCUUCUGUCAUCUGUCAGUCAGUCUAUCCAUCCAUCCAACCUACCGUCUUUCUAUCUCUAUCCACCUGUCCGUCCAUCUUUCUUUCCUUCUAGUAUCUGUUUAUGUCUGUUGACCUCUGACGUCUAUCUUCAUCCUUCUGUCUAUCCAUCAUUUCUGUUUCUUUCUUUCUACCUGUUAUAUAUAUAUCUAUCUCUAUGACCGAUCUAUUGAUUAUCGAUCUAUUACCUAUAAAUCUGUUUCUUUGACCUCUCUAUUGAUCUGUCUCUCCCAUCUGCCUAUUAUCUAUCUCUCCAUCCUGGGAGGUACAGCCUCCUAUUAAACUCUGUCAGGGUGACUCCCUGUCACUGUGCACGGACGCUGCACUGUCCUUUGCGGUGCUGGGGUGCGGUUCUAACUGAUGGGUGAGGUGCCCUGUAAUUGAGAGGAUGUCUUUGCAUUUUGCACAACACAAACCAUGCUUUAUAUCAAAUAGCAUGCAUGGGUAUACAGGUGUGGGUGCAUCUGUGCGCAUAUGAGGAUGUGUGUUUGCAGUCUGGGGUGUGUCUCUGGGGUGUGUGUGUGUCUCUGUGCUGUAGGUUUUCAUGUCUUGUGAGCUUGUACAUUUCUUUGCUUUUUUGGUUUUGUUUCUGAAUCACCUAUGCUUUGCUUCAUUUUUAGCGACUGGGGUUCUAGAAAAAGCCUUACUGCUUAUGCAGGGUUUUUUGUUUUGUUUUUUCCUUUCUUUUUUUUUUUUUUUGGUGCUCAUUUAAGACUCCCAAGAAGUUGCAAACGGGAGUUCCAGGAGUUCCCUGGUGGCUCAGUGGGUUAAGGAUCUGAUGUUGUCACUACUGUGCCAUGGGUUCAAUCCCUGUCCCCAGAACUUUUGCUUGCCUCAAAUACAGUCCGAAGAAGAAGAAAUUGCAAACAUAAUGCAUCCAACCUCCCCAGAUAACAGCGUUUUACACCAUAGCACAGUGUCCAAACUAGAAAUUUACUGCCCUAUCAAUUGCAAAUAUCUUUGAGUUCAUUUCAUUUCAAAAACUGAUAGAAGUAAUACAGACACAUAUAUUUUACUUAAAAUGUUGCUGUGCUUUUAUGUAGUGCUGCAUGGAUGGAAUAACAUACACAACAUCUUGCAAAAUUUUUAAUGUAACUGAAUUUACAUUUUCUGGCACUUGGGUAUCACUUAGGGUUUCAUCCCAGUUAUAGUAUGAUGCUGGACCUGGUUUCUGGUUUUAUUUAUUUUUAAUUCAAGACAUGAAACCCGUUGUCAGUUAUUGGUAUAUGGUGCAUCGUAGAGAUUGUUUUUUUUUUAAUGGAGUGCUUUUCUGGAACUGUUGAUGGAAUAGCCUAUCUUUUCCCUGCUGUAUGAGGUCUCAACUCUCCCACAUUCUCGUUGCCCAAUGUAUUUCCCUUUUUGUUUCCAUCGGUCUUAUCUUUCACCUGCACCCAAAACAAAUCAGGGAGUUCCUGUCUCUUUGCUGGAAACACUGACACUCCAUGGGAGUCAUAUUUUGGAGCAAAAGCUGGCAGGAAGUCCUUAGAAACCCCCCUUUGCGAUUCUGUCCACGUCUGAACCGAGCCAGUAAUCCCCUUGCAGAGGGUGUGCUUACGCUCGUAGGCUGUUGAUGUCAUAUAAAACUUGCAUUAACGUUAUUGUUUAUUAGCGCCCAGUCCCGAUUUUGUUUUACAGUCCAUGUGUAAUGUUGGAACACACACCAGCAGAUGUCGAUCUGCAGUAUUUCUGUCACCUCUGAAAGCUGACGAGCAGAUGCUUGGAAGCACGUUCUUGUUCUUGUUCCCUGUUGUUCUCAACAGUAGGGGGUUGCCGCGUAUUCUCUUUCUAUGCUGAGAUGUAGAAUAGUCACAUUUUCAGAUUGUCUUUUCUGCUGUUUAACUGAAAGGUGUCAGUGGAAGUCAAUGAGCUCCUAAAAGUCCACAUAAACCUCCUGGGUCUUUGCCUUUGUUUUCAGAACCUUUUGGUAGACGAGACUAUUUCCUUGAGACCUCCUGGGUUUUCUCUCCAUAUUUAUUUUUCCGUGGCUCCCCACCAUCACCAGCAUCCUGAUCUCACGGGGAAAACUACUUCACAUCUUGCCAAGCAUGAAAAACCCCAUAAAUACUGGGCUGCCAUAAUCUUCUCAAGACCCAGCAUACAGAACUCUGCUGUAGGGAUGUGACCACACGCAGGUCCAGCUAGCUGCUUGCUGCUCAAAAGCCGGUACACACAAGGCAGGUGUUGGUAAAAAGGAAAGUUUGCUUUAUUCCAGAGGCUGGCACCCUGAUGAGAAGGUGGACUCAUGUCCAAAAGUCAAUUCCCCAUUACUGAUCAUGGGGCAAGAACUUUGAAAGGAGAAUUUCACGUAGGCUACAGAUGCAGCUUGGAUCCAGUGCUCCUGUGGCUCUGGUGUAGGCUGGCAGCUGCAGCUCCAAUUCAGCCCCUAGCCUGGGGUGCCAUGGGUACAGCCCUAAAAAGAAAAAA
RNAcentral lists this long non-coding RNA (5841 nucleotides) under Sus scrofa (pig). Its description in RNAcentral is "lncRNA (ENSSSCG00030020536.1)". The record is from RNAcentral. Lineage: Eukaryota; Metazoa; Chordata; Mammalia; Artiodactyla; Suidae.